This is a non-coding RNA of Labrus bergylta (ballan wrasse), 1891 nucleotides long. Lineage: Eukaryota; Metazoa; Chordata; Actinopteri; Labriformes; Labridae. The record is from RefSeq and is a predicted model, not a curated record.
CAUGGACACUUUUAUGGUAAAUAAUGGUUUUAUUUGGGCAGGUAUUUUGAGUUAUGGGUGGAGCUGAUUAAUUAAUGUGGGUGCGAUGCACAGGUGGUGAGAAAAUGAGAUCGUCUUUGUCUGUGAACUGUGGUGGAGGUAUAGCCACACAGCACAUGUUUGUUUUUAUCCUAUUUAAGUCAUGAGUUUUUGAUAUUAAUUUUGGAUCUGUUGUGGAAAAAAGUGGAAAUUGUUCGUGAAUAAACAGAGAAAUCAAACGAAACGACGGAUCCGUGAGUUUAUAUUGAAGUGGACACGCAUCAGGAACAAACAGUUUGUUUUGCCCGUUCACCUUGCAGACCACAGCUACUGUCACAGAGGGAGAAUCUCUGCACGCCGUGCAGACAGUGACAGGAAGCCCAGAGCAUCCUGCAGAGACCAACAGCAGCACUCUGCUCAUCCUCCCAGACCGGCCCAGAAGAGGAAGAGGACCUCUGCUGCUCGUCCUUCCACAUCUUCUGCCGAACAUCUGGUCCCGAGGCCUCGGUCCCCCAUCUCACCUGCCGACCUCAUUCUCCAACCAACAAACUAAACAUGCAUCUUAUCCUCCUCCAGCCGGAUAAACAACCAAAGAACCACACAGCUUUAACAAACCUCCACCUCAAACCACCCAGCUGUGGAUCAGUGUUUUAAACUCACAGAUUUUCUUUUUGCUUUUUUUCAGGUGGACUUCAGAGACAUCCAGACGUACAGGAGCUGAUGAAGGCCCAUUCCGACAGUUCCUUCUGCUACAAGAUCUGUGCACCAGAGAUGUCUUUAUCUCCUCCUCAUCCUCCAUCAUCACCAGCGACUCCUGCUCCUCUCCUGAACUGAAAGCUCCUCUUCACAUGGACCCUUCAACUCCACAAAGCUUCCUCUGAUCUCCUCCACAAGUCAGCUCCAAAACAGACAAAACAUUGGACAAUUGGUACUUUAGACAAGCAAGAAAUAUCUGCAAAGAUAACUAAAUAUGUAACUUGUGUAGAUGUUUUUAAAGAUAAAAAUAUUCUAGUGUCAUGACAAAAAAAUGACAUAUAUCUUCAAAUGAUUACAACUAGACUAAAACAAAUACUUAUCUGAUAAAAGAAACAGUUAUUUUUUCUCUCAAAAUGUAGAAGUAUUUUUCAUUUAACAUCUUAUUUAAAAUAAGGCUGUAACUGAGUUAAAAUAGAAUAUUGUGCUAAAAAAUGUCAUCCUGACUGACUCUGUUUUAUUCUAAAUGACAUCCUCCGUUCUAUAGGCUAGCAUAAAGCUAGGUCAACCAUCUGUCCGUAAAUAUAAUUCAACAACACGCAAACGUUCAUUACUAACAUAAUACGUAAUAAUUUUAAUUUUAUUUGGCAACGUGUAAAAUGUAUUUCAGCACAGAACUUUUAUUUUUAGCCGUUAGUUGACUGGCUGGUGAGCUCUGUGAUUGGAUAGUCUGAGAGCCGCAGUACCUGUAGUUAUGUUUGGUGCUUCAUUCAUUAAAAUAAUAGAUUGAUAAAAUUAUUGAAAUAGAAAAUGUGUAUUUGUCAUAGUACCUGCAACAAUUGGAUUAAUAAAUGUAGUUAUUUGUGUUGAAGUCACUCAGGAAGGCAACAUGAAAAAACUUUUCAAUUAUUAUAUUUCUCAAAGACAAUUAGGAACUAUAAAGUCUCAAACAAGUUAAAUAUUCAUAAAUAAUACAGCCUGAUGAAAAAGACAACAAAAACAAAUAUAUAAUGCCUUCAAUUAUUUCACGUUAAUUAGAAUUGACCUUUGAUAAAAUAUAUUAAGUCUAGUUUUUGACAUCAAUGUGAGUCACUAAUUGUUCAAACUUUAAAAAACAAUAAACCUUCUUGUUCACUUCAUGUCAAACUUGUUCAAUCCCUUUAUUUUUGAAAGAUUGUUA